RNAcentral lists this long non-coding RNA (1133 nucleotides) under Capsicum annuum. RNAcentral describes it as "long non-coding RNA (CANN_LNC018200)". The record is from RNAcentral. Lineage: Eukaryota; Viridiplantae; Streptophyta; Magnoliopsida; Solanales; Solanaceae.
GAGUGUUACAUAAUUCAAAAAUUCCAAAACAAAAUACAAUAGUAUAACAAUACUGACAAUAAACUAAACACACAUAACGCGUACACACAUAUAUAUGUGUGUGUAUAUAUAGUGCAUUUAUAGAAAUAUCAUAAAACGGUGCAUCUCUUCUUUGGAUUCUGUUAAUACGGAAUAUUUUGUGCACCGAACUCCGAUAUGCUUCUAUGGUUUCCCAUUGCAUUUGUAAGGAUAAGGAAGGCAAGGUUUUGAAGCAUGUGGUGCUGGUUUUAAUGCAAUGGGUGGUUUUUUAGUGGCUAUACAUUUGCCAUAGAUAUUCUUCUUGCAUAUUGGUCCUUUGUGUAAUGGAUCAUAGGGUAUUUUUCCAUCUGAAAAAAAAAAAACAUAGAAUAUAUGUAUAAUUAGUGGAUAAUCAAAAUAUAUAUCGGCAAGAAAAAUUAAACAGUAAAUUUAACUGACUAUUUGUAUAAAUGGGGUCAUUUGAUCGGAAAAGAGUUAUUUCGGAAUUUGUUAUCCCGUAUAUGAGAUAACUUAUUCCAUCACUGUGGCCUAAAUGGUAUGAUAAAUAAUUCCGGGUACUAAUUAAUACCUCACACCAAACAUGAAAUAAAAUUUCGAGACUAUUUAUCUCUUAUACCUGAGGCCAAACGACCCCUAUACUAUUUUUUUUUUUAUGUAUUUUACAUUCUUUUUUCAUAAAACUUAAACUCAAUUCAAAUAAUUAAAGAGAAAUAUUUCUUUUUAUUUUUUUAGGUUAAAACUCCAUUAUUAAGGAGAAAGGAAAUAUUUUCAUUUGACCAAAGAGUACUUGUGGUGGAGGUGAAGCGGUAAGUACUCCAUCAUCCUUAAUUAAAAAUUUUGAGUUCCAAGUGUAUAGUUGUCUUUAUAAAAGAAAAUUUAUUUGUGAAGUUAAAGUUAGUCAAAUCUCAAUAUAAAUAUCAAACAUCGAAUGAAAAUUUAAAAAAAAAAAAAUACCUAACAAUCUCCUCGAGUUUGUUGAGGAUAGACAAAAAAAAUUAAGACAAAAAAGGCUAUGAAUAGUAAAGAGAUGCUUUGUGAUUCAUGGCUUCAAAAGAUAUAUGGUGAAAAAGGAAUAUAUUUAUUAUUUUUACAAGAUAUACGUGUAUAUGAUGAGG